RNAcentral lists this ribosomal RNA (1513 nucleotides) under human metagenome. Its description in RNAcentral is "bacterial LSU rRNA". It matches the Rfam family "Bacterial large subunit ribosomal RNA", at positions 1345 to 2925 of the family's 2925-position model. The record is from RNAcentral.
CUAAGGUUUCUUGAGGAAGGUUCGUCCGCUCAAGGUAAGCCGGGAGCUAAGGCGAGGCCGAGAGGCGUAGUCGAUGCACAUACGGUAAAGAUUCCGUAGCCACCGAAGUCGUUAAAUACAGGGACACAGGAACAUAGCCUAACCCCACCGUUGGUUGAGUGGGGCGUAAGGGAGCGAAAAAUAGUAGCGAAGUAGGUGAUUGUACACUGGCGAGAAAAGCUGUAUGUAUUGAUAAGGUGCCCGUACCGCAAACCGACACAGGUAGAUGAGGAGAGAAUCCUAAGACCAGCGGGAGAAGUGUUGUUAAGGAACUCGGCAAAAUGACCCCGUAACUUCGGGAUAAGGGGAGCCUACGCGAGUAGGCCGCAGAGAAUAGUCUCAAGCGACUGUUUAGCAAAAACACAGGUCUAUGCUAAAUCGAAAGAUGAUGUAUAUGGGCUGACGCCUGCCCGGUGCUGGAAGGUUAAGGGGAAGUGUUAGAGCAAUCGAAGCACUGAACUUAAGCCCCAGUAAACGGCGGCCGUAACUAUAACGGUCCUAAGGUAGCGAAAUUCCUUGUCAGGUAAGUUCUGACCCGCACGAAUGGCGUAACGACUUGAGAGCUGUCUCAACAACAUACCCGGCGAAAUUGAAGUACUGGUAAAGAUGCCAGUUACCCGUGAUAAGACGGAAAGACCCCAUGGAGCUUUACUGUAACUUGAUAUUGAAUUUUUGUAUUACAUGUACAGGAUAGGUGGGAGACAGAGAACUAAUGCCGCCAGGUGUUAGGGAGUCGAUGUUGGGAUACCACUCUUGUAAUAUGAAGGUUCUAACCUGCACCCGUGAAUCCGGGUGGGGGACACUGUCAGGUGGACAGUUUGACUGGGGCGGUCGCCUCCUAAAAGGUAACGGAGGCGUUCAAAGGUUGGUUCAGCACGGACGGAAAUCGUGCAACGAGUGCAAACGCAUAAACCAGCCUAACUGCGAGACCGACAAGUCGAGCAGUAACGAAAGUUGGAGUUAGUGAUCCGGCGGUAUGAGAGUGGAAUUGCCGUCGCUCAACGGAUAAAAGCUACCCUGGGGAUAACAGGCUGAUCUCCCCCAAGAGUUCACAUCGACGGGGAGGUUUGGCACCUCGAUGUCGGCUCAUCGCAUCCUGGAGCUGAAGUCGGUUCCAAGGGUUGGGCUGUUCGCCCAUUAAAGCGGUACGCGAGCUGGGUUCAGAACGUCGCGAGACAGUUCGGUCCCUAUCUAUCACGGGCGUAGGAAAUUUGAGGAGAGCUGACCUUAGUACGAGAGGACCGGGUUGGACGUACCGCUGGUGCACCUGUUGUUCUGCCAAGGGCAUAGCAGGGUAGCUAAGUACGGACGGGAUAAACGCUGAAGGCAUCUAAGCGUGAAGCCCCCUUCGAGAUAAGAUUUCCCAUAGCGUAGGCUAGUAAGGACCCAUGAAGACUACAUGGUUGAUAGGCCGGAGGUGGAAGUGCAGUAAUGUAUGCAGCUGACCGGUACUAAUAGUCCGAGGGCUUGACCA